CCAUCGCGCCGCCGCCAGCAUCUCCCACCUCGGGAUCCUCCCGAUCCAAAUCCACCCACUCUCCCUCGUUUUCCCCAACCAGCCUACCGUAGCCCGCAGUCGUCCUCGAUCCAGAUCGAGGUGAGCCAUCCCCGAGUUCCCGUGCCUCCCGUUCGUCUUCCCCGAAGACCACCAGAGCCCGAGUCCUCGCAGCCGCCUUCCGUCCCUCACCACCAAGCAGAGCUCCGGCAAGCCCUCGUUACACUUCGGCCAAGAGGUCCGCCAUCUUCUUGUCGGUGCUCCAGCGUCGUCGGAGUCCCGCACAAGCCGCCAAGUUCAUGUCGCUUUUGCUUCCCGGGAGCGGGCCUCAACGAGUAUCCCCCCGUGCUCCCUCUGCCCUGCACUGAGCUCCAUCCGCCACUGCACCCUCUCGCCGUCGUCUUCUUCCGGCGCGCCACCAACGCCGGGUCCGGCCUCUGCCUUGAGCAGAGGAGGAGGACGCUCGCGUCUCGCCGCCCUAGUCACCUGCCAGCUCGAGUCGCCUCUGCUUCAUCCUUGCCGCCCGCUUGUGCUUCGCUCCUGCCGCGGCCCUGCUCUGAUUGUUGCUGUCUCCGUCAGAUCCAACGAGUCCCUGCUCUAGAUCGACCGCCAAGCUGAGGCCUUCCUGACCACUGGACGCCCAUAUCCGCUGCCCAUCGCUGGUCUUUGCGCCGUCGCCGACCUCCCCUGAUUUUGCUUCGAGCAGGAGAGAACGCUUGCAGCGCCGCCCCGCCUUCGUUGACUGCGAACCUCGUCAGCGCCUCCUUGCCUCGCUCGUGGACUGGCCUCCAGGCCUCUGCUUCUUCUGCGUAGACCACACCUCCCCCACCUACCCGUUCAAUCCAACUGCGAGCUGGCCUCCUCUGCCCGUGGGCUGCACAAGUAGGCCGGCCCAGCGUGCCCCUGCCGGCCUCCCACUCCACCAAACAGGGUCGAGCCCAUGGUGAGUCCACCACCAGCGCCUCCUUUUUUUCUGUUUUGUUGGACCUCUGCUCAGUGUCGGCCCAUGUAGUGUUUUUUCCGUGCUGCUAGGUUUUUGCUAUUUAUCCAGAGUUGGCCAAUUUUACAAAAAAAAAAACUUGGACUUCAUGCAUACUAUA
This is a long non-coding RNA of Triticum dicoccoides, 1118 nucleotides long. RefSeq lists it as uncharacterized. NCBI's taxonomy places the organism in Eukaryota, Viridiplantae, Streptophyta, Magnoliopsida, Poales, Poaceae. The transcript is spliced from 3 exons. The record is from RefSeq and is a predicted model, not a curated record.